CCACCUCUAGCUGUCAAUACGUCAGUCAAGCCACAAUCACCAGCCAUCACGGACCUCACUCCUCCUUCUCCCUUUUACCCUCCUUCAGUGAUAUCCUUGGUUUGGCUUGGGAAGAGAGGAAGAAAGAAAAGAGAGAAAGAAAGAGAAGAGAGAGAAAAAGAGAGAGGAGAGAGAAAGAGAGGGGAAUAAAAAUAGAGACAAGGAAGGGAGAGGAAAAAGAGAGAGAAAGGAAGAAAGAAAGAGAGAAA
RNAcentral lists this long non-coding RNA (248 nucleotides) under Elaeis guineensis (African oil palm). RNAcentral describes it as "long non-coding RNA (EGUI_LNC035088)". Lineage: Eukaryota; Viridiplantae; Streptophyta; Magnoliopsida; Arecales; Arecaceae. The record is from RNAcentral.